CCUACGGGGGGCGGCAGUGGGGAAUUUUGCGCAAUGGGCGAAAGCCUGACGCAGCAAUACCGCGUGAAGGAUGAAGGCCCUUGGGUCGUAAACUUCUGUCAGAGGGGAAGAAAUGCCCGUAAGGGAGCUGACGGUACCCUCAAAGGAAGCACCGGCUAACUCCGUGCCAGCAGCCGCGGUAAUACGGAGGGUGCAAGCGUUGUUCGGAAUUAUUGGGCGUAAAGGGCAUGUAGGCGGAUUGUUAAGUCUGGUGUGAAAGCCCGGGGCUCAACCCCGGAAGUGCAUUGGAUACUGGCAAUCUUGGGUAUGGGAGAGGAAAGUGGAAUUCCGAGUGUAGGAGUGAAAUCCGUAGAUAUUCGGAGGAACACCAGUGGCGAAGGCGGCUUUCUGGACCAAUACUGACGCUGAGAUGCGAAAGCGUGGGGAGCGAACAGGAUUAGAUACCCUGGUAGUCCACGCCGUAAACGAUGGGUACUAGGUGUUGCGGGUAACCACUCCUGCAGUGCCGCAGCUAACGCAUUAAGUACCCCGCCUGGGGAGUACGGCCGCAAGGCUAAAACUCAAAGGAAUUGACG
RNAcentral lists this ribosomal RNA (575 nucleotides) under uncultured bacterium. RNAcentral's name for it is "bacterial SSU rRNA". It matches the Rfam family "Bacterial small subunit ribosomal RNA", at positions 338 to 915 of the family's 1533-position model. The record is from RNAcentral.